Long non-coding RNA from Ictalurus punctatus (channel catfish), 1268 nucleotides. Lineage: Eukaryota; Metazoa; Chordata; Actinopteri; Siluriformes; Ictaluridae. The record is from Ensembl.
CCGUCGUGUAGUUAGUUUAUAGCCUAAUAUUAGCUUUUCACUUCUGGCGAGUGUAUAGGCUUCAAAAUGUGAUGGAUCUUAUAUUACUGAAGGAAACAUGUAAGAAUCAUAAACUUUUGUUGGUCACAGAGCUUAUUUUCUGCAAUAAUCCAAAAGCCAGUGGAAAAAUCCUGUCGUUUUGUGGAGGGGGGAAAGUGUGACGCUUCCGGGGUGAACUUCCGGGGUGGCCUACAAAAAUACACCAUCCCUGCAGUAUUGACGACUUCCACAUUAGAAGGGGAAACACCCCUCUCUCUUAAUACCGAGAUAAAGUCCAUCACUACAGCGGGGAAUUAUUACAUUUAUGAUGGCGAAGAUGCCAAAGUGCAUGUAACACCAGUCCCAUUCACAAAGCGCCAGAUUUUUUUCCGGAGAAUGUUUUGUGAGAAAACAGCUUUUGGUUAUGUGGAGAUCACGAGAAAAGCAGGAUGAUGAUAAUAAUAAUAAUAAUAAUAAUAAUAAUAAUAAUAAUAAUAAUGCAUGGCCGCUUAGGACUUCCGUGGAGACAUGCCUUUAGUUGUUUAGAAGUUACUCUGGGCAGAGAAGGGAAGUAACGACGUACUAAUACUUCAUUACUGUGCUUAAGUAGAUUUUUCUGGUAUCAGUACUUUACUAUUUAUAUUUCUGACUUUUCCCCCACAUAUAUCUGUAUUUUCUACUUCUUACAUUUUCAAACCAGGCCCUUUAGUUUUAAUCUGUAUUUGGUGGCAUGAUAUAAUAGUCUUCCUUGUCCCUGGCUAUCAUGCACAACAAGCGUAAGCUAGUCAAGGCAGAAGGCAACAAGAAGAAUGGCUAAUGUUAUGGAUGAGACGGAGGGCGUUAGUGAUGUGUACAUGACUGAGGACAGGGACAUUCCUGAUCACCCAUAUAUGAGGGAGAUGCUGGCUUUCAAGAAUUCGCCAUCGAAUUUGAGAAAGCACAUGCAGGUUCUGUACCGGAAACAGAAAUGAUAGUUCGAUUCUUCGCGUUCGAGUUAUUGGUUCUUCCGUGACCGCCGCAUAGACAAUGCAGCAUGCAGUACCGGAAACGGGAUGAACGAACGACUCGAACCCGAAGACUGGAGAGGUGAACUAAUCAUUUAUGUUUCCUGGGAACAGACUUGACAAAAGUACGACUCAGAUCCGGAGGUGAGGUGAACUAACAGAUUACCCUGAAUACCAGCUAAGCUAUUUAUUAAUCAUUUCUGUUCUCAUAAUUCGGCCUUGGCUGCAUGAACCUAUAGUUAAUUU